UUCUCUCUCCUCAAAGUUUCUCUCUCCUCAAUUUCUCUCUCCCCUAAAGUUUCUCUCUCCUCAUUUUUACGUGAUUUUUUUCUCAAGUAACAAUGUCAAUCGGAAAAUCCGUUUGCGUUUGCGCCGCCCUUAUCAUUCACGACAACGAAGUCGUUGCCACUAGCGCCUACAACAAUGAGGAAAUUGAAACCAUGAAGGUCAUAUAUGGUGUUCAAAUCACAGUUCAUAGACACAAUCAGAAGUAUGAGAACUCAAGACUACAUCAAAAAUAAGAUUCAAGAUAUAGAAAAAUAAGAUGAUGAUUUGUACCAGCAUCUUGUAAUUCAACUACAAUUUUACAUAGGCAAUGGCUAAAAUGUUCAUUUUUUGGUAAAAUAUGUUGUUUGACA
Molecule: long non-coding RNA, 389 nt
Organism: Spinacia oleracea (spinach)
Lineage: Eukaryota; Viridiplantae; Streptophyta; Magnoliopsida; Caryophyllales; Amaranthaceae
Exons: 2
Source: RefSeq, a predicted model, not a curated record